ACGGAAGGCAGCAGUGGGGAAUAUUUGGCAAUGGGCGAAAGCCUGACCCAGCAACGCCGCGUGAAGGAAGAAGGUCUUCGGAUUUUAAACUUCUUUUAUGAGGGACGAAGGACGUGACGGUACCUCAUGAAUAAGCCCCGGCUAACUACGUGCCAGCAGCCGCGGUAAUACGUAGGUGGCGAGCGUUAUCCGGAUUUACUGGGUGUAAAGGGCGCGUAGGCGGGGAUGCAAGUCAGAUGUGAAAUCUAUGGGCUUAACUCAUAAACUGCAUUUGAAACUGUAUCUCUUGAGUGCUGGAGAGGUAGAUGGAAUUCCUUGUGUAGCGGUGAAAUGCGUAGAUAUAAGGAAGAACACCAGUGGCGAAGGCGAUCUACUGGACAGUAACUGACGCUGAGGCGCGAAAGCGUGGGGAGCAAACAGGAUUAGAUACCCUGGUA
This 437-nucleotide ribosomal RNA is filed under the name uncultured Oscillospiraceae bacterium. RNAcentral's name for it is "partial 16S ribosomal RNA". It matches the Rfam family "Bacterial small subunit ribosomal RNA", at positions 341 to 792 of the family's 1533-position model. Lineage: Bacteria; Bacillati; Bacillota; Clostridia; Eubacteriales; Oscillospiraceae. The record is from RNAcentral.